GUCGGCGCAAGCCGACUAUGGUGAUAAACGGACGGUGUAAUAAACCCAUUGGACCCGGGGGCGGUACCCGGCGCCUCCACCA
This 82-nucleotide transfer-messenger RNA is filed under the name Brucella melitensis. RNAcentral's name for it is "transfer-messenger RNA Bruce_melit_16M". It matches the Rfam family "Alphaproteobacteria transfer-messenger RNA", at positions 40 to 119 of the family's 355-position model. Rfam says of the family: Bacterial tmRNA, also known as 10Sa RNA or SsrA, is named for its dual tRNA and mRNA-like properties. Its role is to liberate the mRNA from a stalled ribosome. Lineage: Bacteria; Pseudomonadati; Pseudomonadota; Alphaproteobacteria; Hyphomicrobiales; Brucellaceae. The record is from RNAcentral. RNAcentral also lists the same sequence under 250 other names.